UGCGCUGUAGUUCAACGGAUUAGAACACUUGUCUACGAAGCAUGAGAUGAAGGUUCGAUUCCUUCCAGCGCAA
RNAcentral lists this transfer RNA (73 nucleotides) under marine bacterium AO1-C. It matches the Rfam family "tRNA". From Rfam's summary of the family: Transfer RNA (tRNA) molecules are approximately 80 nucleotides in length. Their secondary structure includes four short double-helical elements and three loops (D, anti-codon, and T loops). The record is from Rfam by way of RNAcentral. Lineage: Bacteria; Pseudomonadati; Bacteroidota; Cytophagia; Cytophagales; Cytophagaceae.